RNAcentral lists this ribosomal RNA (464 nucleotides) under Vreelandella stevensii. RNAcentral describes it as "partial 16S ribosomal RNA". It matches the Rfam family "Bacterial small subunit ribosomal RNA", at positions 338 to 795 of the family's 1533-position model. The record is from RNAcentral. Lineage: Bacteria; Pseudomonadati; Pseudomonadota; Gammaproteobacteria; Oceanospirillales; Halomonadaceae.
CCUACGGGUGGCAGCAGUGGGGAAUAUUGGACAAUGGGCGAAAGCCUGAUCCAGCCAUGCCGCGUGUUUGAAGAAGGCCUUCGGGUUGUAAAGCACUUUCAGUUGGGAAGAAAGCCUUGGGGCUAAUACCCUCGAGGAAGGACAUCACCCACAGAAGAAGCACCGGCUAACUCCGUGCCAGCAGCCGCGUAAUACGGAGGGUGCGAGCGUUAAUCGGAAUUACUGGGCGUAAAGCGCGCGUAGGCGGUCUGAUAAGCCGGUUGUGAAAGCCCCGGGCUCAACCUGGGAACGGCAUCCGGAACUGUCAGGCUAGAGUGCAGGAGAGGAAGGUAGAAUUCCCGGUGUAGCGGUGAAAUGCGUAGAGAUCGGGAGGAAUACCAGUGGCGAAGGCGGCCUUCUGGACUGACACUGACGCUGAGGUGCGAAAGCGUGGGUAGCAAACAGGAUUAGAUACCCGGGUAGUC